CCCCGUGGCUCAGUUGGUAGAGCAUGGUGUUUGCAACGCCAGGGUUGUGGGUUCGAUUCCCACAGGGG
Molecule: transfer RNA, 68 nt
Filed under: Salmo salar (Atlantic salmon)
Lineage: Eukaryota; Metazoa; Chordata; Actinopteri; Salmoniformes; Salmonidae
Rfam family: tRNA
About the family: Transfer RNA (tRNA) molecules are approximately 80 nucleotides in length. Their secondary structure includes four short double-helical elements and three loops (D, anti-codon, and T loops). Further hydrogen bonds mediate the characteristic L-shaped molecular structure. tRNAs have two regions of fundamental functional importance: the anti-codon, which is responsible for specific mRNA codon recognition, and the 3' end, to which the tRNAs corresponding amino acid is attached (by aminoacyl-tRNA synthetases). tRNAs cope with the degeneracy of the genetic code in two manners: having more than one tRNA (with a specific anti-codon) for a particular amino acid; and 'wobble' base-pairing, i.e. permitting non-standard base-pairing at the 3rd anti-codon position.
Source: Rfam by way of RNAcentral